UUUCAGGAGCAGAAGGCACAGUGUUCCCUAAAUCUAUAGAAACUCCCAAUGUCAGGGCAGACCCCUUCAAGGAACUAAGACUUGAGUCGCCUACGCGCGCGUUGGUGAUGGAGGCUCCAAAAGGCAUUGAGAUCAACGCCGAGGCUGGCAGCUUGAAAGCCACAUGCAGGACGGAGCUCAGGCUGGAAUCCAAAGAUGGAGAGAUAACGUUGAAUUCUGCAAAAAUCAAACUACCUAACUUGCCUCAAGGAUCUUCCUCUUCUGCAGGGUCCAGGCAAAAAAUCUACGAGCUCUGUGUGUGUCCCAAUGGGAGGUUAUUUCUGUCUCAGGCAGGCACUAGCUCGACCUGCCAGAUAAAUACAAGCGUCUGCCUUUGAGAGACAAUUUGCAGUGGGGCAUCGCAGGCAGCACAAAAGCCAAUUCUGGUCUCACAGAUUGCAGCUGCCAACUAUUUUUACUAGAACACAGAAAGCCUAUCAAAGACUUUUUUUGUGUGUGCGCGCGUGUGUGUGUGAAUAUAUAUAUAAAAAUAUAUAUAUAAAAUAUAUAUAUAUAUACUUUGUGUAAAAUGAUGUUUCAGUACAAGGAAUCCCAGGGUGACCCUGUUACAUUUGUGUAGCAUUUUUCUUUCUCAUGUCAAAAUUUACUGAUACAAUCUGCUGAAUUGAACUUGAUGGACCCUUCUGUAUUAAGAUAUUCUGACGAUCACCCCUCGUUAUUGAUCAUGUUCUCAGAGCGAUGGGAUUGCUGGCUCAUCAAGAGCAUGGAACCAUUGUAGACCUAGCAGCAUACAAAAGGGAGGGUAGCGUCUCUGAUUACUUUUGCACCGUUAAAUUGGUGGCUUGAGAAAAACGAAAUAGCCUGACAUGCUGUACUGAUGGCCUAGAGUGAUCCAAGAUACCUGGGAUUAAACUACACUCUAUAAUUCUCACCUGAAGUGGGGCUCCCUGCGAGGAAAAAUGAAUUUCAUUGCCUUAUUCUUCCCAGCCCUUGGCCAGGAGGAGAGUCCAGAUCUUCUCACUGGAAUAAAUGUGUUAUAUGAAAGGAGUCUAGAUUAGCCUGAACAUGGCAAAGGAUGUUAUGUACUAUUCAGAUGGUACACAGUCAGUAUGCGAAGGACUGGUAUUUGGUGGUCUCUUAAGGGAGUCCCUUCCACUUCCCAAGUAGGAGUUUAACAGACCAAGGGAAUUAACAAACACAUGAAGGUCACUGUCACUGGGAGAAAAAUUGAAUCGAAGCCAACUUAGUUAACUUCCCUGAAUCUUGCAUUGAAGAUCUCUGAAGAGGUUAUGCUAUUAUCCAGCAUCAACUGGAACACUAACCUAAAGACAUUUCCACGUUAAGAAAACUAGUGAUGUAUUUAGUUUUUGGAAAGAAAAUAAAUUUAAAAGUUGCACUCAACAGAAAAAUCCUGAACCUCCUUAGCUUACAGGUGUCCUGGAUCACCCUACAAUCACUGUGCUACCACUUUAAUUUUGAAAAGAUUUAACACAGCCUGUGAAGGUGAGAAAAUUUAAGAUUUGGACAUCACCUAUCUGUGAAACAGAGAAGUUCAUACAAGCUAGAAGUGUAAUCUAAACUUUGUGCUGAAGUUUAUAUCAUCUUUCUUUUCAGGAAACGCAGUCUGAGGUAGCUUACAUUUUAUGUAUGUUGCAAAUAUCAGAGACGCUGACAAUGAAACAGAUUUUUUUUUUUAGUAAUUUAUAAAGAUUGUGACCAAGAUUACUGGAAAGCAAGGGCUUUGGAUACUGGUUCCUCUAGAACAUGAGCCCCAAAACUUCUGUGAUUGAACCUUUUCAUGGGUGCUUUUUUUCCUUAUUUAAGUCUAGGAGUCACUUAUGGGCAGGAUAAAACAUGAGAUCUGAUCUGGUAACAUUAUUUCUUCUGUUCAGGUUUUGAAAAGUAAUGAGGAGAGCCCGGAUCAUUGAAUCCUGACCCAUAAUUGCAUAUAAAAAUCCUUGAAAAACUAAUGGGAUAAUAAUCUCAAAAACGUCUAGGUCCCAGUAAAUCUCAUGAGGGCAGCAAGGUUUCUAAGUCACUGAGAUGCUUUUGAAAACAUCACCUCAUGUGCAAAUAUGACAGAUCUGUGCCCAUCCUAAUGGUAUCUAAGAAAAGCUGGCAUUCUUUAAGCAACUUUCAAGAUAAAAUGUAGCCAACAGAGAAAUAUUUGAAAUAAUUUAGCCAGUUUCUUUUUUACAUAUUUCCUUGUAUUUUCUUGUGGUCUGAAGAGUACCAGGGUUUGGUGGGGUUUUUUUGUUUGUUUGUUUCUGUUUUUUAAAUGAACAGUUCUAGUCUAAUCCAAAGCUGACUGGACACAAUUGAAAGUUUUUCAUUGCCCUUCAUGGGCUUUGGGUUAGAUGUUGCUGCCUAACAAAGCAACACUCCUAUAAAAUUUAUACCUGAUAGAGGAUUGGAUGAUCUACAUUUAUUUCAAUAAUGCUGUUAGAUUAAUUAACAAAUUCAAACUCUCUGUUAAUUAAUGAUUCCUGUAAUUAUUAUGUCUUGAGUCAAUGUUUGAAUGCAAAGGGUCACCCAGGGUAACAAUUGUAUUGGGACACAGGACUAUACCAUCUCUGUUCAAAGAGGGGAAUUGUGCCUAUGCCUUAAGUCAAUGCACUCAGCAAGGAGAAGCACAUCAUAUUUAUCUUGUUAUUAAAACUAGUUUAUUUGGGGGGAGGGACAAGAGGGUGUUGUCACCAGGUGUCUUAGGAAGUGGUUGUGCAACAUAAAACAGAUAUUAAUGAAAUGCAUUAAGACUGUAGGGGCACCUAGUGUGAUAGAGAUGUUUUUUACCAUGUUAAAUAUAGCAAAACACUGUGUAUGUUACCUCCGGGACCAUGACUGAAGUCCCAUUCAUAGUCCUGCAUUUACUGUAGAAUUUUUCCCCUGUGUCAUUUUAUGUUGAUCACAAACCUUAUAGCAAGCACAGCCCAAUUCAUAAACAAAUCCCAUGUGCAGAAGUGCAUGAGCCAUUGGGAAGAAAAGCGCUGCAGGAAGAGUCCCUGGUGCAGAGAACCAGUUGCAUAGCCUUCCCUUCCCGGAGAGUUUUAAUGCUAGUGAGAAACACUGGUUUGAGCGCACACACUGCCUCGGGAAGGACAGUGUUCCCUCAGUCCCGUGUUGCACCCCGAGAGGCAGGGCGGCUCAGUCUCCAUCCCCUCACCCUCUGGCUGCUCUGCGGAGGAUUUCUAUUCAAAAACAACCGCGUUUUGAGUGGCCAGGCUUGUCAGCUGGCUCUUGGAUGAGAUUAUCACCUUCUUAUUUCAUGAAGGCCAUGAAACUGCUUAAGGACAUCUGGCCAUAUACCAGUUUUUUGUGGAUGUCAAUGGGAGAGCUGUUAGGGAAGAGCCUUACACAUCUGUGCCAUCUCUAUAAGAGACUUUUUUGCAGAAAGCUUCUCUGAGGUGAAUAAAGGGGCACUUUAAUGUCAACAGAAAUGAAUUCCAGUUCCUUCAAUAUAUUUUACAAUGCUGUUUCCACCUUAAAAAGCAUAAAAUGAUAUGCUGUAUCAGAAGAGAAGGGUCGAUGUUACAGAGAUUGAUCCCAUAUGGAGACUUAUAAAUCAUCUGAGCCUCACUUGAAUUUUAAGGCCAUGGUUUAGAUGAUGCCACAUGCUCUUGGGUUAGCUACAGGAUUAAUCCCCUGCUGUACAGCAAGUGACAAACCAGAGCAAACAGGACUGCAUGUCUGAGGUCCCAGGGAAGAAAAGGCAUUUUGUUUAAAAAGUAGCAGGCAGAUAUAUCCAGCUUUCUCAUGCUUCAUAGUUUGUUCUAUGAGGGUCACUGUGGAGACGCAAGCUCACCUGGUGAAAGGCAAAUGCAUGAGACUUUGUCUUCCUCCUGCCUUGUCAGCAGCCCGAUCAGCAGACAUUUAAUAAAGGGGAUGUCUGUGCAGGGCUGCCCCUGCUUGAUCACCAAGUAUGAUGUGACCUUUGUUAAGUUUAGGUUGCCUCUGCAUUACUCGUAAUUGCUUUACCUGUAUGAGUUGGUUUUCCCCGAGUCCAUUCAAAUUAGGACCUUCCUGGCUGGAAUUCUGUACAUAUCCUCUGCCUACCACUGUUAAAAUACCAAAAAUGAUCAAAGGUUUGCAUAUUUCUUUAUGAGCUGGGCCUGUAAUUUAGUUCAGCGUUUGCUAAUACAGGAGAACACAUUUAUCUGGGAUAGGAAUUUAGUUUUACCUCCCAACACAAAGGUAAGGCUCAGGUGGAUGGUGAAUUUGCUUCUACUGAAAUCAGUGGAAGAGAUGUCAACAGCUUUGCUGAGCUAGGACAGGAUCUUUAUAGGCGAAAAUUCAGGGCACUGACGCUAUGGAAACACUGCCAGUUAUUUCAGUGGCUGGGGGCCUGAACCCUGACUCUGCGCUGUGUGCAAUUCUGCAUUGCAGCUAUAUGCAUUAAAAACACAUUGAAAUGCUAAUAAGCGACUGUGAUACUAAUGUCAAUAUACCUUAGGCAACCAUGAAUACUGCAGUUAAGUGCUUUUAUGUAUUUUAACUCUUAAUUGUAUAGGGCUUUGGGACCUUGUUAAGUUUGCUUUAAAUGCCACACUUCAGUAAGCAGUCAAGAAAUGACUGGCAGUGCUUACCUGUACACCAGUACCUUAUCCAUGCGUAAUGUAUGACCCUGCUGCUGUAAUAGGUGAGUUAAGGUGUUGCGUUUCCUUUUGUUUUGUUUUUAAGCAAAGAGACUUUGCCAUUAGCAAAAGCAGAGCUCCUAAUACUGAUUAUGCAGCUCUAUCCAUUCUCCAAGUUUCUUUAGUUGUUUUUUGCUUUGUAUGUAUGUAUAUGUUUCCCAGCAGUCAGUGAAAUGGUUAGCUUGACGGUACAAGGAAAACACUAACAAACAGAAAAGGAAAUGUCAUCCAAAGGGGAAGCCAACAACUAUGGAAAAUACAUGUAAGGCCUCUCCUAGGUAUACACUGUUAGAAAACUAAAUACGUGCAAGAGUAACUUAUAUUUUUUUCUCUCAAUCAUGCUGUCAAGCAGCUGUAUUUUGAAAAGGGUUUUUUUUUUUUUUUGCUCCUUUAAUCACAGUAUAUGAAAAGAAAAAAGUUUAAGACAUAAGGCUAAAAAUACCUUCUGUAGUAUACCGUACAGCAACAGAAUGAUGUCUAAAUCAAGAAAACACUCCUUAGAAAUUGUUCCAAGGUUAAAGAAAGAUUCCUGUGGAACUUGUGAAGAUGUCAAGUUAGUUAGUGUCAUGUCUAGUUUGGAAUAACAGAUGUUCUUAAAGGAAAUUAGCUUUUGUUGUCAUAAAAUGCACGCGCGUACGCGCGCGCACACACACACAUAUAUGUGUUCACAUACACUUGUUUACGAAAUAAGCAGUUUUCUCCAUAUAUGUGUGUGUGUGUGUGUGUGUACAUAUAUAUACACAUGCACACAAACACAUAUAUACAUAUAUUGUUAUGGCUUUAAGUUUCACAUUGCAAAGAAGAGUGAGGCAAAGACCAAAGACUUAUAGAAAUUCAUCCCUUCCCUAGUUGCCCUCACCCCUGAAAGGCACUAAGUGUAAUGGUGCUUUUUGGACCUGGGCAGGAAGAAUACAGGUUUAUUGUAUGGCUGCAUUUGAGAGAAUAAAGCGGCAGGAAGAUUCUAACUUUGUUGAUGAGGAGAAAAGGAAAUAGUGUGAAAUUCUUUAAAUGUGUACAGAAGGCAGGGAUGUCUGGAAUUUGAAACAUGAAGAAAUAUGGUACAGCAUAAGAAUUUUAAAAGAUGCUGUCCCAAGCUGAAAGCAUAAAUAAACCAAAUAAAUAUUAUAAUUGGCUGUUCACUUAACUGCACUCAAGCAGUAGCAGAGGAGGCACUCUGGCAGUGUUGGUGGCACUGUGGUGGAUUUAUCGAGAAGAGGCAUGGUGCGCUCAGGCUCCAUUUCAGUGACAACAGUAGAAAAACUAGCGAGACUACUGUAAUAAGGCCAUCUGAAUCUUUAGUCUUAAAGAAUUCAUAAUUACCCUGCUCAGUAUAGAAAUGUAACUGCAUCAUAAUCCUUUCAUUUUGAAAGUACGUACAAUGAAAACAAAAACGUUAGCAGCUCUGCUCCUUUUUUUUUUAGAGCUGACAUUUUCAAUUUGGAAAUGUCAUAAUCCAGAAGGCACCUGAGCAAAUGUAGGGAGCAUUUCUGUAAAGUGCUAGCAAUCAGCAGAUCAGGACUUUUCAAAUCUGAAAACAACAGCUUUUUUUAUCCCCGUUGUCAUUGUUGUAGAGGAGUGCAAUCACAGUAACAUUUAAGUUUUCCCCACUUUAACCUUUUUCAUCAAUUCUAAAACUGCUGUGUAAUAUUUUGGUAGCCAGUAUUCUGCCCACACUGGGCCACGUUCAGGUGGUCUGCAUCCCCCAGAUCCCUGAUCCUGGCAUUUCUCGUGCCUCUGAAGACCAAAACCAAUGAGCAGGAUGCAUGGGGCAGUGGCACUUAAGAGAAAUUAGGCCUUCUGCACAGAAGUUGCAAUGUUUUCACAGCUGAUGUAGCCAAGUCUAUGGCUGUGACUGGAGCAGAGUUAAGCACUGAUGAACAGAUUAUUCAAGCAAGAGUAGAGUGAAUUAAAUAAGGCAGGCAGAAGAGAAAGAAAAGAAAAGAUAACAAAUAUCACCCGCAUCACAGUAAUACAACAAACAUCUUUGCUUGCAAUAUUAUAUUUUAAAUGAUUAUUGGCCAUUUUACUAAAUAUGGUAGCAACUGUAUUUGAUCUUGCGUGGUUCAUGGUGGAAUUGUUGUUGCUGAAACCACUUACAGCUUAGGCUGUUUUUUAAGAUUGCUAGGGUGUUGCUUCCAUCCACAAUAACCACAGUGGCUUGAGGCUUGGAAAGAAA
Struthio camelus australis is the source of this 6807-nucleotide non-coding RNA. NCBI's taxonomy places the organism in Eukaryota, Metazoa, Chordata, Aves, Struthioniformes, Struthionidae. The record is from RefSeq and is a predicted model, not a curated record.